AAACCAACAGGGAUUGCCUCAGUAACGGCGAGUGAAGCGGCAAAAGCUCAAAUUUGAAAUCUAGCACCUUCGGUGUUCGAGUUGUAAUUUGAAGAUGGUAACCUUGGGUUUGGCUCUUGUCUAUGUUCCUUGGAACAGGACGUCAUAGAGGGUGAGAAUCCCGUCUGAUGAGAUGCCCAUUCCUUUGUAAGGUACUAUCGAAGAGUCGAGUUGUUUGGGAAUGCAGCUCUAAGUGGGUGGUAAAUUCCAUCUAAAGCUAAAUAUUGGCGAGAGACCGAUAGCGAACAAGUACAGUGAUGGAAAGAUGAAAAGAACUUUGAAAAGAGAGUGAAAAAGUACGUGAAAUUGUUGAAAGGGAAGGGCAUUAGAUCAGACUUGGUGUUUUACGAUUAUCUUCUCUUCUUGAGUUGUGCACUCGUAUUUCACUGGGCCAGCAUCGAUUCGGAUGGUAAGAUAAUAGCAGUUAAAUGUGGCUCUUCGGAGUGUUAUAGUUUCUGUUGAUAUUGCCUGUCUGGAUCGAGGGCUGCGUCUUUUGACUAGGAUGCUGGCGUAAUGAUCUAAUGCCGC
Molecule: ribosomal RNA, 567 nt
Filed under: Hansenula ciferrii
Lineage: Eukaryota; Fungi; Ascomycota; Saccharomycetes; Phaffomycetales; Wickerhamomycetaceae
Description: eukaryotic LSU rRNA
Rfam family: Eukaryotic large subunit ribosomal RNA
Source: RNAcentral